CGCGGGGUCGGGCCGAGAGGUUCGGGGGCUGCGCGUCUUUUGGGCGCGCGUCGUGUGUGGCUGGUCGCGCAGUUCCCCGCGCCC
RNAcentral lists this transfer RNA (84 nucleotides) under Streptomyces chartreusis. RNAcentral's name for it is "tRNA-Lys". Lineage: Bacteria; Bacillati; Actinomycetota; Actinomycetes; Kitasatosporales; Streptomycetaceae. The record is from RNAcentral.